Molecule: non-coding RNA, 121 nt
Filed under: Chloroflexota bacterium
Lineage: Bacteria; Bacillati; Chloroflexota
Description: Chloroflexi bacterium c-di-GMP sequence
Rfam family: c-di-GMP-I riboswitch aptamer
About the family: GEMM was predicted in a large-scale screen for bacterial structured RNA regulatory elements. Genes associated with GEMM are involved in a diverse array of functions, including chemotaxis regulation, signal transduction, secretion and chitin.
Source: RNAcentral
CUUCUAUCAGGGCAAACUGUCUGUAAGGGCAGGGCGCAAAGCCAUGGAGCUUUUCCCCAGAUUCCCUCCCGUUCGACGGAUGUUAGGGUGGGGGAACACAUAAGCCAGCCGGGCUGCCGAG